This is a non-coding RNA of Arachis ipaensis, 185 nucleotides long. The record is from RefSeq and is a predicted model, not a curated record. Lineage: Eukaryota; Viridiplantae; Streptophyta; Magnoliopsida; Fabales; Fabaceae.
GGACAUACAAAAUUGGAGGUUGUGAUUUAAGCAGCAUUGCUCCUCCUUGUACCAGGUGGAUUGAAAUGAUGGCUCCUGGAUUAGUAAUAUGUAAUUCAAGGAUGGUAGCUUGCUUAGAAUCUUCGUUAGCUUGGGUACUAGUAGUGUUUUUUUGUUUCAGUAAAAACUAGUGGUCUCUUUUGUAA